CAUUUUGUUGUUGGGCUGAGGCCCAUACUGAUGGCCGUAGGCCGAGCGGAGAAUACGAUGGGCUCACGGCAUAUUCGGAGUUGCCGGUCGGAAUAUUCCUGGCGCGCGCGCGAAUAUUUCCCCGGGGCGAGCGAAUCUACCGUCGCUGCGCCGCUUUCUCGCGCUCGCCUUUUCCUUGGACCGCACGCACGGCACGGCCACCCUUCUCCUCUCCUCUCUUCACCUACCUAUUCUCUUGCUCGGCGCGCGUAGGAGAGGAGAGGCACUUCUUCUUCGUUCUUCCUCGCCGUCGUCUUCCUCUCCAUGUCGGCAUGUGUCUUGCUCGACACCGGCGGUACCGUGGCCCAUGGGUCGUCGCCGGACGCCGGGCACCAGCAGGCGGCCGGCAUCGAAGCUGUCAACCAUGAUUUUUUUUUUUUACCAAAGGAAAGAAAAUGUCCAGAGGUUUUGUACCACGAGGAAAUAAGCAACGUAACAAAGAAUCGAUUUGAAAUCUCGGUA
Molecule: long non-coding RNA, 501 nt
Organism: Sorghum bicolor (sorghum)
Lineage: Eukaryota; Viridiplantae; Streptophyta; Magnoliopsida; Poales; Poaceae
Exons: 2
Source: RefSeq, a predicted model, not a curated record